Molecule: long non-coding RNA, 202 nt
Filed under: Hordeum vulgare
Lineage: Eukaryota; Viridiplantae; Streptophyta; Magnoliopsida; Poales; Poaceae
Description: long non-coding RNA (HVUL_LNC000444)
Source: RNAcentral
UGGAUAAUUAGCCAAUUUAGGCUUUGUUGCAUGAGUCUAAGCUACGUAGAAUAAGAGAAAUAGAAGAAGAAGUAAAAGAAGGAGGAGGAGGAGGAGGAGGAGAAGGAGAAGGAAGAGGAGAAGAAGAAGAAAAGAAGAAGGAGAAGGUGAAGGAGGAAGAAGGAGGAAGAAGAAGGAGAAGGAGGAGCUCCUUCUCCUUCUU